This 253-nucleotide ribosomal RNA is filed under the name uncultured bacterium. RNAcentral's name for it is "partial 16S ribosomal RNA". It matches the Rfam family "Bacterial small subunit ribosomal RNA", at positions 524 to 776 of the family's 1533-position model. The record is from RNAcentral.
UACGUGGGGUGCAAGCGUUAAUCGGAAUUACUGGGCGUAAAGCGUGCGCAGGCGGUUCUAUAAGACAGAUGUGAAAUCCCCGGGCUCAACCUGGGAACUGCAUUUGUGACUGUAGAGCUGGAGUACGGUAGAGGGGGAUGGAAUUCCGCGUGUAGCAGUGAAAUGCGUAGAUAUGCGGAGGAACACCGAUGGCGAAGGCAAUCCCCUGGACCUGUACUGACGCUCAUGCACGAAAGCUGGGGGAGCGAACAGG